RNAcentral lists this ribosomal RNA (425 nucleotides) under uncultured bacterium. RNAcentral describes it as "partial 16S ribosomal RNA". It matches the Rfam family "Bacterial small subunit ribosomal RNA", at positions 354 to 796 of the family's 1533-position model. The record is from RNAcentral.
GUUAGGAAUAUUGGACAAUGGGCGCAAGCCUGAUCCAGCCAUGCCGCGUGAACGAUGAAGGCCUUCGGGUUGUAAAGUUCUUUAGCCGAUGAUUAUAAUGACUGUAGUCGGAAAAUAAGCCCCGGCUAACUUCGUGCCAGCAGCCGCGGUAAUACGAAGGGGGCGAGCGUUAUUCGGAAUCACUGGGCGUAAAGCAUGCGUAGGCGGUUUUGUAAGUUAGGAGUGAAAGCCCAGGGCUCAACCUUGGAAUUGCUCUUAAAACUGCAAGGCUAGAAUCUCGGAGAGGAUAGCGGAAUUUCCAGUGUAGCAGUGAAAUGCGUAGAUAUUGGAAGGAACACCAGUGGCGUAAGCGGCUAUCUGGACGAGUAUUGACGCUGAGGCACGAAAGCGUGGGGAUCAAACAGGAUUAGAAACCCUAGUAGUCC